RNAcentral lists this long non-coding RNA (312 nucleotides) under Malurus cyaneus samueli. RNAcentral's name for it is "lncRNA (ENSMCSG00000005623.1)". The record is from RNAcentral. Lineage: Eukaryota; Metazoa; Chordata; Aves; Passeriformes; Maluridae.
GUGGGUGGAGAAGGAGUGGGCUUCUCUCAUCUUGUCACCUCUCGCUUGCCAGAUGCCGGUGACAAAACGGCCUCGGAAAUCCUCCAGCGACCUGGAUCAGGGCAGCCCCUCUGUGACAGAAGAGGAGAACUCAGAAACGUCUUCCGAGUCAGAAAAAAACAGCGACCAGGAUUUCACUCCUGAAAAGAAGCCGGUGGCCCGGGCUCCUCGGAGGAUGCCGGCAGCGGGGAGGAAGAAGAAGAAAAUGGAGUCUGGCUCUGACUCUGACUCUAAAGUGGACUCAGACCUGGAGAUGGGAAACGCCACCGUGGA